This 385-nucleotide ribosomal RNA is filed under the name uncultured bacterium. Its description in RNAcentral is "bacterial SSU rRNA". It matches the Rfam family "Bacterial small subunit ribosomal RNA", at positions 28 to 416 of the family's 1533-position model. The record is from RNAcentral.
GACGAACGCUGGCGGCGUGCUUAACACAUGCAAGUCGAGCGGUAAGGCCCUUUCGGGGGUACACGAGCGGCGAACGGGUGAGUAACACGUGGGUGACCUGCCCUUAGCUCUGGGAUAAGCCUGGGAAACUGGGUCUAAUACCGGAUAUGACUCCAUGACGCAUGUUGUGGGGUGGAAAGCCUUGUGCGGCUAGGGAUGGGCCCGCGGCCUAUCAGCUUGUUGGUGGGGUGAUGGCCACCAAGGCGACGACGGGUAGCCGGCCUGAGAGGGCGACCGGCCACACUGGGACUGAGACACGGCCCAGACUCCUACGGGAGGCAGCAGUGGGGAAUCUUGCGCAAUGGGCGAAAGCCUGACGCAGCGACGCCGCGUGGGGAUGACGGCC